AAUAGAUACCCAGGUAGUCCACGCCCUAAACGAUGUCUACUAGUUGUCGGGUCUUAAUUGACUUGGUAACGCAGCUAACGCGUGAAGUAGACCGCCUGGGGAGUACGGUCGCAAGAUUAAAACUCAAAGGAAUUGACGGGGACCCGCACAAGCGGUGGAUGAUGUGGAUUAAUUCGAUGCAACGCGAAAAACCUUACCUACCCUUGACAUGUCAGGAACCUCCGAGAGAUUGGAGGGUGCCCGAAAGGGAGCCUGAACACAGGUGCUGCAUGGCUGUCGUCAGCUCGUGUCGUGAGAUGUUGGGUUAAGUCCCGCAACGAGCGCAACCCUUGUCAUUAGUUGCUACGCAAGAGCACUCUAAUGAGACUGCCGGUGACAAACCGGAGGAAGGUGGGGAUGGCGUCAAGUCCUCAUGGCCCUUAUGGGUAGGGCUUCACACGUCAUACAAUGGUACAUACAGAGGGCCGCCAAACCCGCGAGGGGGGAGCUAAUCCCAGAAAGUGUAUCGUAGUCCGGAUCGCAGUCUGCAA
RNAcentral lists this ribosomal RNA (530 nucleotides) under uncultured bacterium. RNAcentral's name for it is "bacterial SSU rRNA". It matches the Rfam family "Bacterial small subunit ribosomal RNA", at positions 777 to 1310 of the family's 1533-position model. The record is from RNAcentral.